Molecule: long non-coding RNA, 915 nt
Organism: Nerophis ophidion (straightnose pipefish)
Lineage: Eukaryota; Metazoa; Chordata; Actinopteri; Syngnathiformes; Syngnathidae
Exons: 2
Source: RefSeq, a predicted model, not a curated record
CAUCGCUCACGGAGGGGCUGGUUUCAAUUAGACAUGUUUGUGUCCUUUGUCAAACAACGGCAUAUGGCUACAGUGUGCGUACUCUUGUGAGGCCUGAGAACAAUAGCCCUGACCACUGGGACACAUUGUGCCACCCCAGAAGAGUCCUCCGUAUUGUGGUGCACAAGCAUCCAAAGCAGAUGGUUAAUUUUUACCAGACUCUUCUAGCAUAAAGUGACAAACUCUGUGCGUCAAUCAGUGGCAAAAAAAGGGGUCCCAACAUUACCUGCUUUUGCCUUUCACUGCAGAAGGUGGAGCUAAAGAGGACCUGGAGGGAAGUCUGGGCUGAGAUGCUGGGGAGCAGUCCGGCACAGGGAUGGAGUACACUCUUUGGACCACCACCAUCACAUCAUGGCCUAAAGAACCAGCCUGUCCCAUUCCUUCAAUAGCCUCCAGGAGAGAAUGGCAACAUCUGGGCAGGACACCAGGAAGUCCAUAUGUGGCAGCUACCUGAGGCUUGCUGGAAAUGACCUAACUACUGCCAGGAAGAGGAAUGUGAAACAUUCCCAGGAGCUGUGCGUGACGUCAGAGCAACGAGGAGGCCCCAGCGCUUCCGCCAGCCUGGAUAUUCCAGAGUGCAUUCAAUCUCAAACUCCCAACAGCUGGAGGCGAAUGCUGCCUUGCUCCCACUUCAAAACAACCCUUGAAAACAUACACGGCCCACCCCUCCCUUGACUCCGAAGUGAGGGGCUGCAGUGCACAUCUGGGCCUUUAGUGAUGAUACUGAGGAAUGCUGGGGGAAAGGUUGUGCUUUCCACUGAAGUUGUUCUAUUCUAAAAUGUUAUCAUUAGAACUGUUAACACCAGAACUAAGUGAUGCACAUACACAAAUUUUCUUUUGUUGAUUAAAAAAAAAUGCUUUUACUGCCAUUCCAAA